Molecule: ribosomal RNA, 348 nt
Filed under: Triticum aestivum (bread wheat)
Lineage: Eukaryota; Viridiplantae; Streptophyta; Magnoliopsida; Poales; Poaceae
Description: partial small subunit ribosomal RNA
Source: RNAcentral
AUGUCAAAACAAAAGGGAUGCCACGACAACGACAACGAAAAUGAUGCCACAACAACAUUUCGAUGCUCUGACAACUCGUCGAGAUGUCAGUGCAAAAAAAAAGUACGGAUGUACGAAACAUGCAAAAGAUGGUGGGCUGGUCCCGAUUACUGGGUUCCCACGGGUCGAAGGCAUGGCAACGACAACUCAAACAUGGUGCAAACACAAACAUCUCAUACAACACAUAUGUAUUUGUUCGGCGUUGUCUCGGGUUUAUACCUUCGAAGCGUGCAAUUCGGGGCGGACGAGUUUGAUGCAGUGCAGACGAAAGUAGUGCUACACGACAUCGGUAGAGGUACUCAUCGGUAG